Molecule: ribosomal RNA, 504 nt
Filed under: Salmonella enterica subsp. enterica serovar London
Lineage: Bacteria; Pseudomonadati; Pseudomonadota; Gammaproteobacteria; Enterobacterales; Enterobacteriaceae
Description: partial 23S ribosomal RNA
Rfam family: Bacterial large subunit ribosomal RNA
Source: RNAcentral
AAGGUGUGUCGUGAGGCAUGCUGGAGGUAUCAGAAGUGCGAAUGCUGACAUAAGUAACGAUAAAGCGGGUGAAAAGCCCGCUCGCCGGAAGACCAAGGGUUCCUGUCCAACGUUAAUCGGGGCAGGGUGAGUCGACCCCUAAGGCGAGGCCGAAAGGCGUAGUCGAUGGGAAACGGGUUAAUAUUCCCGUACUUGGUGUUACUGCGAAGGGGGGACGGAGAAGGCUAUGUUGGCCGGGCGACGGUUGUCCCGGUUUAAGCGUGUAGGUGUGUGUUCCAGGUAAAUCCGGUUCACUUUAACACUGAGGCGUGAUGACGAGGCACUACGGUGCUGAAGCAACAAAUGCCCUGCUUCCAGGAAAAGCCUCUAAGCAUCAGGUAACAUCAAAUCGUACCCCAAACCGACACAGGUGGUCAGGUAGAGAAUACCAAGGCGCUUGAGAGAACUCGGGUGAAGGAACUAGGCAAAAUGGUGCCGUAACUUCGGGAGAAGGCACGCUGACAC